This 270-nucleotide ribosomal RNA is filed under the name uncultured bacterium. RNAcentral describes it as "partial 16S ribosomal RNA". It matches the Rfam family "Bacterial small subunit ribosomal RNA", at positions 28 to 315 of the family's 1533-position model. The record is from RNAcentral.
GACGAACGCUGGCGGCGUGCCUAACACAUGCAAGUCAAGGCGGUAGCAAUACCGACUGGCGCACGGGUGCGGAACACGUAGGUAAUCUGCCCUUUAGGGGAGAACAACCAGCCGAAAGGUUGGCUAAAUCUCCGUAACAUCGCGAUGGGGCAUCUCAUUGCGAUCAAGCUUUCUAAAGGAUGAGCCUGCGUCUGAUUAGCUAGUUGGUAGUGUAACGGACUACCAAGGCUACGAUCAGUAGCUGGUCUGAGAGGAUGAUCAGCCACAUUG